Molecule: ribosomal RNA, 253 nt
Filed under: uncultured bacterium
Lineage: Bacteria
Description: partial 16S ribosomal RNA
Rfam family: Bacterial small subunit ribosomal RNA
Source: RNAcentral
UACGAAGGGGGCUAGCGUUGCUCGGAAUCACUGGGCGUAAAGGGCGCGUAGGCGGCCAUUCAAGUCAGGGGUGAAAGCCUGUGGCUCAACCACAGAAUUGCCUUUGAUACUGUUUGGCUAGAGACCGGAAGAGGUAAGUGGAACUGCGAGUGUAGAGGUGAAAUUCGUAGAUAUUAGGAAGAACACCAGUGGCGAAGGCGGCUCACUGGCCCGGUACUGACGCUGAGGCGCGAAAGCGUGGGGAGCAAACAGG